AAACACUGGCUGACCAGGGAUCUGAAACUUGAUCGUUUUCUCAAAACAAUCAACAGUAGCAUGGUAUGCUGCCAACCAGUCCAUUCCAAGAAUCAAAUCAAAGUCAUUCAUCUCUAAGACCAACAAGUCUGCAUUCAUUUCUCUGUCCUCAACGCCCAAAAUACAGUUUUUGCAAACUGAAUUAACUAAUAUAACAUCUCCACUUGGCGUUGAGACACAAAGAUCAAAUUCUAAUGGCACCGGUGAUAUUUCAGUAUUCUUUCUAACAAAAUUGGCCGAUAUGAAUGAGUGGGUAGCACCAGAGUCAAAUAAAACAUUUGCAUCAUAUGACAUUAACCUAAUCAUUCCUG
This 350-nucleotide long non-coding RNA is filed under the name Phoenix dactylifera (date palm). RNAcentral describes it as "long non-coding RNA (PDAC_LNC011852)". The record is from RNAcentral. Lineage: Eukaryota; Viridiplantae; Streptophyta; Magnoliopsida; Arecales; Arecaceae.